RNAcentral lists this ribosomal RNA (465 nucleotides) under uncultured bacterium. RNAcentral's name for it is "partial 16S ribosomal RNA". It matches the Rfam family "Bacterial small subunit ribosomal RNA", at positions 339 to 795 of the family's 1533-position model. The record is from RNAcentral.
CUACGGGAGGCUGCAGUGGGGAAUAUUGCGCAAUGGGCGAAAGCCUGACGCAGCGACGCCGUGUGGGUGAUGAAGGCCUUCGGGUCGUAAAGCCCUGUCGGGUGGAACGAAUCAUCUGGCGGCGAAUAACCGCUAGGUUUGACGGUACCACCGAAGGAAGCCCCGGCUAACUACGUGCCAGCAGCCGCGGUAAGACGUAGGGGGCGAGCGUUGUUCGGAUUUACUGGGCGUAAAGCGCGCGUAGGCGGCUAGAUAAGUCGGUUGUGAAAGCCCGCGGCUUAACCGAGGUCCCGCAUCCGAAACUGUUUGGCUCGAGGCUAGGAGAGGAAAGCGGAAUUCCCAGUGUAGCGGUGAAAUGCGUAGAUAUUGGGAGGAACACCGGUGGCGAAGGCGGCUUUCUGGACUAGCACUGACGCUGAGGCGCGAAAGCUAGGGGAGCAAACGGGAUUAGAUACCCGUGUAGUC